Molecule: long non-coding RNA, 1305 nt
Filed under: Homo sapiens (human)
Lineage: Eukaryota; Metazoa; Chordata; Mammalia; Primates; Hominidae
Description: small nucleolar RNA host gene 17
Source: RNAcentral
GUCUGUAUUUCCGCCGGCGCGAAACGAGCGUAGCUUCCUUGUCGUGUGGCCUCAGUCCUUCGCCGUCCCUCGCCGUCCUUCGCCAUCGCACGCCACCGCACCCCAUCUCUCGAAAUCUGCAGACAUCUUGAUUUUUCCCACGCUGUCUGUCAGGUCUCCGCCGCCACUCGACGCCAGGGCGCCGGGUGAGUCCACAGCAGGGCGCAUGGUCGGCUCCACUCUCACCAUCGGGGGAAACUGAGGCCCCGGGGAAGGCGGCCAGAGAGGUCAGGCCCUGUCCUUGGUGCAGUGUCUCGUCCUCUUUGCCGGAGUGAGCCCCCCAGGAUUCGCGUGUCCUCGGGAAAGACACUGGCAGGCCUUGUGGGCUGUGCUGCACCUCGGACGGCUUCGCACCAGCCAGCGCCCUCUCUCUCCUGCAGCACUCUGAUCUGCACCCCCUGAGGGGCUUCCACUGUCCGCGGGGUGAGAAUGCCCCUGGGAGUGUCACAUGACUGCCGCCCCAUGUGUGUGAGAGGCGUCCUCUGGGAGAGCAUGGAUCCUGAGGUCCCAGGAUUGUCAGCUGACCUCUGUCCUGUGUGCCCAGUGGCCCCAGGUGACGUGUCUUCAAGAAGAGGCUGAGCUGCGGUGCUUGUAAGGGUCUCAUUCUGUCACCCAGGCUGGAGUGCAGUGGUGCAAUGAUGGCUCACUGCAGCCUCGACCUGGGCUCAAGUGAUCCUCCACCUCAGCUUCCUGAGUAGCUGGGACCACAGAGUCAUGUGCUGUUCCUGGGGCUUGGAUGAUGUAGGGGAAGCAAGGUGAAAGUGGUAUCCCGUGGUUCCACGUUCUGUCCUGCUGUGGGGCUGUCCCUCACAUGCUUUCAGUGGCUGUUGCAGAGGAAGAGCCUCCGGAAAUCUGCGUGGGUCUCAGCCUUAGAUCCAAGGACAGUCCAAGGAAGUCCUAAGACCAUGGAGUUGGUGAUCUGGGAUCUGGGUUUGCUGAUAUUUCUCACCGUGAAUCUCUUGGUGGUGUUUGUGGGCACGAGAGGGGCAGAGAAUGGAGAGUGAGGCUACCACAUGAAGCGUCACCAGAGCUGCUCCCUGCUGCCUGCUCAGAGCACCCCGGAUCCACUGUUCAAUCUGCACAAGAUUCGGGGUCCAGACAUGGGAGACUUCAGCUGCCUCAGAGGACCGUGGACAGGGAAGGCCAGCCUCGCAUCCCUCUGUCCAUGCCUGGAAUGACUUUAAUAACCAAGAGUUUUAUUUUUGAAUUUGUAGCUGUCGUUCACUUUUUACCCACCCAUUCAAUAAACCUUACAGAAUUGCUCCA